AUUCCAGCUCCAAUAGCGUAUAUUAAAGUUGUUGCGGUUAAAAAGCUCGUAGUUGGAUUUCUGUUGAAGGCAGCCGGUCCGCACUUGGUGCGUGUAUCUGGUUUGACUUCGGCAUCCUCUCAAAAUACGUUUCUGCGCUUGAUUGCGUGGAGCGGAGUUUGGGACUUUUGCUUUGAGGAAAUUAGAGUGUUCACGGCAGGCAAUCGCCUUGAAUAUAUUAGCAUGGAAUAAUAAUAUAGGAUCUUGGUUCUAUUUUGUUGGUUUCUAGAGCUAAGAUAAUGAUUAAUAGGGACAAUUGGGGGCAUUCGUAUUAGAGCGUCAGAGGUGGAAUUCUUGGAUUGCUCUACGACGAACUACUGCGAAAGCAUUUGCCAAGGAUGUUUUCAUUA
Molecule: ribosomal RNA, 389 nt
Filed under: Syndiniales sp.
Lineage: Eukaryota; Dinophyceae; Syndiniales
Description: partial small subunit ribosomal RNA
Rfam family: Eukaryotic small subunit ribosomal RNA
Source: RNAcentral